UUCAAAGCUGGCCAUUUCUCUGCUGCCCAUCAUCCAGCUCCAUCCUAAAUUGGAUUACGAUGGGACAGACUUUGUUGCAAGACCUCUGGGACACGCGGGAGUACCGGAGCUGCUGAGAGGAUGAUGACAUGUCUCGGGGGAUAACCGCAGAUGGAAGAGAGAGCAGAGAGGAGAGGAGGACAUUGUAAUGGAGCCAUGGACGAUGCAGCUGCUGACACUGUGAGUCUGAAGGGGUUGGUGAAGGGAGGAUCACCGGAUUCUUGAAUUGGAAACCAAAUCAAGCACUAGUCGGACUGUGAAUUCAUGCAGGGGAGCGUGAGAGUUAUGGGUCAGCUCUCUCCUUGGACUUAUUCAAAAUUAAAAACCCAUUUGGAUUGCCA
Perca fluviatilis (European perch) is the source of this 380-nucleotide long non-coding RNA. RefSeq lists it as uncharacterized. The record is from RefSeq and is a predicted model, not a curated record. Lineage: Eukaryota; Metazoa; Chordata; Actinopteri; Perciformes; Percidae. The transcript has 2 exons.